GAAGAAACAGGAUAGGGGAGAAGAUGUCUGUAGGACCCUGAGGAGUCUUCAGGUUACAAACAAUAACAAACACCACCAAAGGACAGGCUUCAGAAAAAUGGAAAAUUGAUCUAACAAGGAAGAAGUAUUAUGAAGCAAUGUUAAAAAGAAAUUGGUAAUAAUUGCCAACAGAGAAAACCCUUCAAAGAGAGUUGCUGCUUUUCCUAAGGGUUUCCAAGGAUCCAAAAACCUUCGGAAGUUCCAAGGAUCAAGUCCCAGGAUCUAAGACAUGCCUUUUGCCUUCUGCCAUGAUUGUGAGGCCUCCACAGCCACAUGGAACUCUGGACCUUUCCUGGAACAAAUUCCUUCAGACAAAUUCUCCACCAGACCAUCAACUCAGGAGGGCAAACAAGGAACUUGUUUUCAAGAGCUGGAGCCAAACCACCCAGAGUUUCCUGUGCCAGGUGAGCAUGAAGAGGGGCCGAAGUCACCCAUUACUAACCCCUCACCCAUGACUGCCUGAAAGGUAUGUCUCAGGCUUUAACCAUGAAACCUGUUUCCUCUCUCCCCUCCAAAGUCCAGCCCAGAGAGGCAUGAUAAAAUCACUUAGCAAAUGGAAAAUAUUUUGUGCUUAUUCUAAGAAAUGUGAUCCAUCAAAAAUGAGCUGACAAGUCAUUUCAUUUCCAAGGACAGUGUCCACAUACUCCAGGCAGCCUCUGGACCUGGAAUAAGACACAUCUAAGCCACAGGCCAGUAAGGACCAUACAGCUAUAACGUUAUGAGUGAUUCUGUAGCAUGGUUUUAAGGCACCAGCUGCACAGUCAGACUGCCUGGUUUCAGCCCAGCUCCCUCAUUUGCUAGCUGUGAAAACUGGGUGAAUUGCUUAAGCAACCCUUAAUGACAUUUUGUUGUUUUAAAAACGGCAAUAAUAAUAAUACUCCCUUCUUCAUAUGAUUGUUUUGAGAUUUGGAUAAGGCAAUAGGUGCUUUAUUCGAUAAGGACCCUAGAACAUACAAAUCUAUUUUAAAAAUGCUAUUAAUAUGGUUUUGCCCUAAAAAGGCAGGUUCUUCUGUUUCUCAAAUCUGACAAAGUUUUGUCAGACUCUUGAAUUCUCAUUAAUAGUUCCAACACAGACUAUUAAUGCUGUUAGUUUUGACCAAAUACAUGACUCAUGAAUUAACUAACUCUUACUUGGUAAUCUGAAGGAAUCAAUAAAAUCCACACUUAAUUCCCCCUAAAUCAACUGAACAACUAUGGACUAUGGAAUUGGGGAGAUCUGUCUAAAUGGCAGCAAUAUCAACUACGAAAAAUAUUUAUUUAGAGUCUGGGUAGGUACCAAGUUCAAUGAACUGCUUAGAGAGUCUGUGUUGCUUUGGUGACUGUUCUAGGCAGUGCUAAUUUUGCUACAAUUUCCUUUCUUAAGUAAGUCACAACCAGAAUAAAAACAAAGUUCUAGAAAUCCCAUAUUUUUACAAACUGGAUUGAUGAAACCAGUUUUUAAAAUAUCAGAGGACCAGACUGAAAAAGAAACCAGGUGUAGCAAAAGGCAACUCUUCUGGAAACUGAAAAUUCAAAGAAACAUGGUAAUCUCACUGUAUUAAUUUUCUUUUCCUCUUGUAACAAAUUACCACAAGCUUAGUGGCUUAAAACAACACAAAUUUAUAUCCUACAGUUUGUGGAGAAGUAUGAAGUGGGUCUUCCAGGGCUAAAAUCAGUGCUGGUAGAGAGGGGGUACAGAGAAUCUGUUCCUAUUCUUUUCAGCUUCUAGAGAAAGCCUGGGUUCCUUGGCUCAAAGUUUCUUCCAGCAGGGGCAUCUCUCUGACCUCUGUUUCCACUGCCUCAGCUCCUACUCUCACUCGAACCCUCCUGCAUCCCUCUUAUAGGAACCCUUGUGAUUACACUGAGCCUUCUCAAUCAAUGCAGGAUAAUCUUCUAUCUAUCUCAAGACCCGUAAUGUAAUCACAUCUGCAAAGUCCCUUUUGCCAUUUGAGGUAACAAAUCCAUAGGCUCCAAGAAUUAAGAUAUGGACAUCUUUUAGGGGACCAUUCUUCUGACUACCAUACUCCCCUAGCUGAAGAAUUAUUGUGUGAAACAGGGAUAAAGGCAGAACUAAUAUAAAUGAGUCAAAGUGGCCAGGAGGUGAAAUUUGGCUCCAAACAGAAGAAUCUCAAUAAUGAUAAGAGGUGAGUGAAAAAGGACAGGAGCUUUUGAGGAGGAUGUGGGCUCUUUAUCACUAGGGCUGAGCCUCUCUUUCUAAACAUUCACUCCCUCUGCCCAUGUUGGGGUUUUGAUUGCAUGGCAUUUGAGGGUCUUUCCAAUUUUAAGCUUCCAGGUCUUUGAAAAUUUGGAAGGUGUGUCAGUCAGUGUAUAGGCUAGGCUAUGCUGGGUAACAACCAAUCCCCCAAAUCUCAGUGAUUUCAAUCAACACAUCCAUUGUUGGACUGCAUUAGCUCUGGUCGUUGUGGUCCUCUAGGGACUAAAGAGACACCACCACUGCAGACAUAGCUAGCCACAGUGCCAGCAGGAUAGAGAGUUCUGGAGGGUCUAGAAAGAGCAACUGAUACCCUGGUCCACAAGGGUCACACAACACUUACACUAACAGCUCCUCAGUCAGAACUAGUCACAAGUCUCUGGCCAACUAAAAGGAAGACCAGGAUAAAGAGCCAAUCUGGAAGGCAAAGAAACAGAAAUAUUGACGAGUGCAAAUAGUGACUGUGACAGGAAACAAUUGACCCUCUCCAUCAAUCAAUUCACAGAUUUUAGUCAUAAAAGGAGUCAUAAAACUCUUUUGACCCCUAAAGAGUUUUUCUAAACAGGGUGACGGUCAAUCGAUUAUCCUAGGCUCACUGAUGCAACAAGAUUGUCUUAAGCAUGUUCUUCUUUCUUGAUUUUAGCUCCAUGGUUAGGGUUUCACUUUCAAAAGAUUAAUAAUAAGGUGAUAAUGAUGAUGAUAAUGAUGAUGAUGAUGGUAAUGCAUGCUUUUUGAAAAUCACAGUGUACUGAGCAUUGUACUCAGCAUUUUCCACAUUUAUUUUUUGAAUCUCAGGCAUAGAGGCAUGAGUGAAUCACACUUCUGAUUUCAUAGCAUACUUCUAUUGUAAGACUCAUACAAAGACUCUCUCAUGGUGUAUUUUAUUCAUGUGUCCCCUCUCCUCAUUUUAUCAACCAUAAUGUCUUUGAUAUGAUACCUUAAUAUUUUGUAUAUUUUUGCAAAUUGUAUAGUGUUGUUGUUAUGUAGGUAUUUUUAAUUCUAUAAAAG
RNAcentral lists this long non-coding RNA (3238 nucleotides) under Homo sapiens (human). RNAcentral describes it as "HSALNT0401038". Lineage: Eukaryota; Metazoa; Chordata; Mammalia; Primates; Hominidae. The record is from RNAcentral.